Molecule: long non-coding RNA, 1143 nt
Filed under: Monodelphis domestica (gray short-tailed opossum)
Lineage: Eukaryota; Metazoa; Chordata; Mammalia; Didelphimorphia; Didelphidae
Description: lncRNA (ENSMODG00000040364.1)
Source: RNAcentral
GCUGGAAAGAGCGAGAGAAGACAUCCGCCCAGGCCUUUACUGACACGGUCUUCUCCCGAUCUCACAACAGCCAUAGGAUGCAACUGCGUCAGGUAGCAUGAUCUCUAUUAAAGAUGAGGAAACUGAGGCAGAGGCCUUUGUGCAACCCAAGGCCAGACAACUUUCAGCUACAUUGCCUUCCACUUGGCACCCCAUGACCAAGCGUUCAGGUUUCCUUGCCCUCUAGAGUGCCUGACAGGAAAUGAUCCAAAAUCCUAUCUAUGGGUUUUGAUUUUAGAAUUUGAUUUUUCUGAUGGAUCUUGUGAGACCCCAAAUCAAGAAAAUCUGAGUUCAAAUCUAGUCUCAGACACUUAUUAGCUCUGUAACCAUUUGCAAGUCACUUAACCUCAGUCUGUCUUACUUUCCUCAUCUAUAUAAUGGGGAUAAUAAUAGUACCUGUUUCCAGGAGUAAGGAACAAAUGAGAUAAUAUGGUUAAAUGCAUUGCAAGUAUUGGAGUCUUUAUUAAUGUUAGCUCUUAUUAUUAAUGCUUCUUCUUCUUAUUAUUCUAUAGGCCUCUAGGUGCACAGAGGUAGAUCAAAUUGGACCAGAACAUAUAUAUUUGGGCUGCUUUAACCAAGGAAAUUCUCAAUCUCCUCUCUAGAACCAGAAGGAAUCCCAAAAUCUAUCUGGUCCAAAACAUCCAUUUUACAGAAGGAGAAAGUGAAGUGAAUUGGUGUGUGCCCAUUAUAAAUGAACUCCUGGAUGUCACCUUCCACCUUCUGGGGAGAGCCGAGCUGGACUCGAUGGAAUCAGAUCCCUCCAGGUCUGGGCCAUCUGAUCUACUAUCCACUGUUUCCUUCCUCAAGUGUCUUCCUCCUUCUCCUCUCCAUUCAUCCAUCGUGAGAGCAGCAGCCAGCCAGGUCACUUAACAGGGAUCCUGUCCUAGUCUAACUUGUAGACUGGCUGGAACACCAGACAUCAUCAGUACUGCAAAUGCCUCAGAGUUUCUUCCUGACUUCCCAAAGCUCCCUGCACUUUGGAUAAGCCCCACAAAGUUGACCUGGUGGUGACUUGAUCUGCUUAUGAGCGUUUGGAGAGGGCAGUGAGUUGGGAGUGGGGAGGAGGGAGAAGAACCACUGUUUGAGGCUAUUCUAGUCAAGACC